RNAcentral lists this long non-coding RNA (380 nucleotides) under Lathyrus oleraceus (garden pea). Its description in RNAcentral is "Pisum sativum (pea) long non-coding RNA (PSAT_LNC014420)". The record is from RNAcentral. Lineage: Eukaryota; Viridiplantae; Streptophyta; Magnoliopsida; Fabales; Fabaceae.
UUUGAUAAUCAUGAAAAUAAUAAAUAAUACAUAAUCAACGCUAUAAGAAAAACACCUGAUAGUCAACAAAUCCAUAAUCUAUCAUCUUCUGCACCACCAUAUCUCGAAAAACUCAUGUUAUGCACCACCAUAUCUCGAAAAGCAUGUCAAAAUAAGAAAUGAUCAAAUAAACUUCUACGCUCCACGUCUUGCUCGAUCCUACUUGUCUCAAUUGGGAAACCUGCAUUAAAUUUUUGAAAGACGGUAAUAAACUUCUGAAUCACUAAAUCCAAUACUAAGAACAUGCAUUUUUUCUUCUUUUUCCCUUUCAUUCUCUCUCUAAAUUUUUAAUUUUUAUUUUGUUUUCGAUGAGUGUGUUGUGGAUGGUACUCAUGAUAUGA